UCACGAACUCGGGCUCGAGAC
Molecule: small nuclear RNA, 21 nt
Filed under: Arabidopsis thaliana (thale cress)
Lineage: Eukaryota; Viridiplantae; Streptophyta; Magnoliopsida; Brassicales; Brassicaceae
Description: snRNA_00585
Source: RNAcentral